GACGAACGCUGGCGGCGUGCUUAACACAUGCAAGUCGAGCGAGAAAGCUCCUUCGGGAGUGAGUACAGCGGCGAACGGGUGAGUAACACGUGGGUAAUCUGCCCCAGAGGGAGCGGGACAACCCGAGGAAACUCGGGCUAAUACCGCAUGAUCCGCGUCGCCCCAAGGCGAUUCGGCAAAUAGGUAGCUUCGGCCUCCGCCGUCUGGAUGAGCCCGCGGCGCAUUAGCNGGUUGGUGAGGUAACGGCUCACCAAGGCGACGAUGCGUAGCUGGUCUGAGAGGACGAUCAGCCACACUGGGACUGA
RNAcentral lists this ribosomal RNA (305 nucleotides) under uncultured bacterium. Its description in RNAcentral is "bacterial SSU rRNA". It matches the Rfam family "Bacterial small subunit ribosomal RNA", at positions 28 to 322 of the family's 1533-position model. The record is from RNAcentral.